This 98-nucleotide signal recognition particle RNA is filed under the name Deltaproteobacteria bacterium. RNAcentral describes it as "signal recognition particle sRNA small type". It matches the Rfam family "Bacterial small signal recognition particle RNA". From Rfam's summary of the family: The signal recognition particle (SRP) is a universally conserved ribonucleoprotein involved in the co-translational targeting of proteins to membranes. Archaeal SRP consists of a 7S RNA and homologues of the eukaryotic SRP19 and SRP54 proteins. In most bacteria, the SRP consists of a 4.5S RNA and the Ffh protein (a homologue of the eukaryotic SRP54 protein). Lineage: Bacteria; Pseudomonadati; Myxococcota; Myxococcia. The record is from RNAcentral.
AGCUAGGUCCUGCGCAAGGGAGGUCGGAAACCCCGUCAGAUCCGGAAGGAAGCAGCGGUACCGAUACCACCCCUGUGCCGCAGGGCAGCCUAGCUAUC